GAUGAACGCUGGCGGCGUGCCUAAUACAUGCAAGUCGAACGAAUCUCUUUUAGAGAUGAGUGGCGAACGGGUGAGUAAUACAUAGGUAACCUGCCCCUGUGCGGGGGAUAACAGGAGGAAACUCCUGCUAAUACCGCAUUGCCAUGAGCACCGCAUGGAGCUCAUGCCAAAUAUCCUUUCGGGGAUAGCGCAGGGAUGGACCUAUGGCGCAUUAGCUAGUUGGCGGGGCAACGGCCCACCAAGGCAACGAUGCGUAGCCGGCCUGAGAGGGCGGACGGCCACAUUGGGACUGAGACACGGCCCAGACUCCUACGGGAGGCAGCAGUAGGGAAUUUUCGGCAAUGGGGGAAACCCUGACCGAGCAACGCCGCGUGAGCGAAGAAGGCCUUC
Molecule: ribosomal RNA, 390 nt
Filed under: uncultured bacterium
Lineage: Bacteria
Description: bacterial SSU rRNA
Rfam family: Bacterial small subunit ribosomal RNA
Source: RNAcentral